This 63-nucleotide transfer RNA is filed under the name Phyllotreta cruciferae. Its description in RNAcentral is "tRNA-Arg". Lineage: Eukaryota; Metazoa; Arthropoda; Insecta; Coleoptera; Chrysomelidae. The record is from RNAcentral.
AAUAAGAAACAAUAUUUGUAUUUAGUUUCGACCUAAAAUUAUGAUCUUAAUAGAUCCUUAUUU